Molecule: transfer RNA, 79 nt
Filed under: Saccharomyces cerevisiae (brewer's yeast)
Lineage: Eukaryota; Fungi; Ascomycota; Saccharomycetes; Saccharomycetales; Saccharomycetaceae
Description: tRNA-Glu
Source: RNAcentral
GUUCGGUCCCCCUCCCGUUAGGGAGGGGUCCCUCACUCCUUCUUAAGAAUAAAAAGGGGUUCGGUCCCCCUCCCGUAAG